GACGAACGCUGGCGGCGUGCUUAACACAUGCAAGUCGAACGGUGAUGCUCCAGCUUGCUGGAGUGGAUCAGUGGCGAACGGGUGAGUAACACGUGAGCAACCUGCCCCAGACUCUGGAAUAAGCGCUGGAAACGGCGUCUAAUACUGGAUACGAAACUGGCCCGCAUGGGCAUGGUUUGGAAAGUUCUGCGGUUUGGGAUGGGCUCGCGGCCUAUCAGCUUGUUGGUGAGGUAAUGGCUCACCAAGGCGACGACGGGUAGCCGGCCUGAGAGGGCGACCGGCCACACUGGGACUGAGACACGGCCCAGACUCCUACGGGAGGCAGCAGUGGGGAAUAUUGCACAAUGGGCGAAAGCCUGAUGCAGCGACGCCGCGUGAGGGAUGACGGCCUUCGGGUUGUAAACCUCUUUCAGCAGGGAAGAAGCGAAAGUGACGGUACCUGCAGAAGAAGCACCGGCUAACUACGUG
Molecule: ribosomal RNA, 468 nt
Filed under: uncultured bacterium
Lineage: Bacteria
Description: partial 16S ribosomal RNA
Rfam family: Bacterial small subunit ribosomal RNA
Source: RNAcentral